This 247-nucleotide ribosomal RNA is filed under the name Enterococcus faecium. Its description in RNAcentral is "partial 16S ribosomal RNA". It matches the Rfam family "Bacterial small subunit ribosomal RNA", at positions 1 to 226 of the family's 1533-position model. RNAcentral also lists the same sequence under 1 other name. Lineage: Bacteria; Bacillati; Bacillota; Bacilli; Lactobacillales; Enterococcaceae. The record is from RNAcentral.
UUUUAUGAGAGUUUGAUCCUGGCUCAGGACGAACGCUGGCGGCGUGCCUAAUACAUGCAAGUCGAACGCUUCUUUUUCCACCGGAGCUUGCUCCACCGGAAAAAGAGGAGUGGCGAACGGGUGAGUAACACGUGGGUAACCUGCCCAUCAGAAGGGGAUAACACUUGGAAACAGGUGCUAAUACCGUAUAACAAUCGAAACCGCAUGGUUUUGAUUUGAAAGGCGCUUUCGGGUGUCGCUGAUGGAU